AAUCAACGCUGGCGGCGUGCCUAACACAUGCAAGUCGAACGCGAAAGCCCGCAAGGGUGAGUAGAGUGGCGCACGGGUGAGUAACACGUGGACAACCUGCCUUCGAGUGGGGAAUAACCUUCCGAAAGGAGGGCUAAUACCGCAUAACACCUCGGGACACAAGUUCUGGGGUUGAAAAGAGCAAUUUGCUCGAAGAGGGGUCCGCGCCUGAUUAGCUAGUUGGUGAGGUAACGGCUCACCAAGGCUUCGAUCAGUAGCCGUCCUGAGAGGGAGCACGGCCACACUGGAACUGGGACACGGGUCCAGACUCCUACGGGAGGCAGCAGUGGGGAAUUUUGGCAAUGGGCGAAAGCCUGACCAAGCAACGCCGCGUGGGUGAUGAAGUAUCUUGGUACGUAAAACCCUUUUCGGCAGGGACGAACCUAAUGACGGUACCUGCGGAAGAAGCCCCGGCUAACUCCGUGCCAGCCGCCGCUGU
This 478-nucleotide ribosomal RNA is filed under the name uncultured bacterium. RNAcentral describes it as "bacterial SSU rRNA". It matches the Rfam family "Bacterial small subunit ribosomal RNA", at positions 32 to 521 of the family's 1533-position model. The record is from RNAcentral.